UACGUAGGUGGCAAGCGUUGUCCGGAAUCAUUGGGCGUAAAGAGCGCGCAGGUGGUUGAUUAAGUCUGAUGUGAAAGCCCACGGCUUAACCGUGGAGGGUCAUUGGAAACUGGUCGACUUGAGUGCAGAAGAGGGAAGUGGAAUUCCAUGUGUAGCGGUGAAAUGCGUAGAGAUAUGGAGGAACACCAGUGGCGAAGGCGGCUUCCUGGUCUGUAACUGACACUGAGGCACGAAAGCGUGGGGAGCAAACAGGAUUAGAUA
This 261-nucleotide ribosomal RNA is filed under the name uncultured prokaryote. Its description in RNAcentral is "partial 16S ribosomal RNA". It matches the Rfam family "Bacterial small subunit ribosomal RNA", at positions 524 to 784 of the family's 1533-position model. The record is from RNAcentral.